Molecule: transfer RNA, 73 nt
Filed under: Bos taurus (domestic cattle)
Lineage: Eukaryota; Metazoa; Chordata; Mammalia; Artiodactyla; Bovidae
Rfam family: tRNA
About the family: Transfer RNA (tRNA) molecules are approximately 80 nucleotides in length. Their secondary structure includes four short double-helical elements and three loops (D, anti-codon, and T loops).
Source: Rfam by way of RNAcentral
UCUCUGGUAGUCCAAUGGCUAAGACUCUGCACUCCCAAUGCAGGGGGCCCAGGUUCAAUACCUGGUCAGGAAA